Molecule: long non-coding RNA, 609 nt
Organism: Astyanax mexicanus (Mexican tetra)
Lineage: Eukaryota; Metazoa; Chordata; Actinopteri; Characiformes; Acestrorhamphidae
Exons: 3
Source: RefSeq, a predicted model, not a curated record
GUUGGCUCCUACCAGGUAGUUUGGAUCUCCGGGGAGAGAUUUGUUCUGCCAAUUCUUGGGGUCACCUGGAAGGAGGGAGAGAGACAGGCACAAGAAUAGAAAAAGAAAAGGAAACCUUUCUACCUGAUUUUGGAGCAUUGCUGGAUUUGAGGAUUUGAUUACAUUAAGGAACAAGAGCAUCAGUAAGAUGGAGACAAUUUGGAGCCCAGAAGGACUACAAGACGGAUGCUGAUCUGGGUAACUGUAUGGAGGGCAGGGCAAGUAGCUACCCACCCAUAAGCAUCUCUCCCCACAGGGAGAAUUCGCCCUCUAGCCCAGCCAUUACAUCACGCUCAUUUGUGUUCAUUGUCCGCAAUCUGGCAACCCAUGUGAGGACUAAAUAGGACUGCGGUUGGACUUUUACUUGCGUGUUCUUAUUUAGUACAUUUUGUUCCUUCACAUUUAAGCAGUAUUAUUAUUAUUAUUAUUAUUAUUAUUAUAAGAUCACUUACUUCUUAGCACCUUCCAUUUGUGAACAUCUGAGCUUAAUCAAAUUCUAACCCCAAAUUCAAAUGUACAAAAUUUCAUCCUGUCAACUCAAAGAGAACCCAAGCAGAUCUACACACCUUC